CCAGCAGCCGCGGUAAUACAAGGGGAGCAAGCGUUAUCCGGAAUGAUUGGGCGUAAAGCGUCUGUAGGUGGUUUGUAAAGUCUGCUGUCAAAAACCAGGGCUCAACCUUGGGAAGGCAUCAGAAACUCACAAACUCGAGUGUGGUAGGGGUAGAGGGAACUCUUUAUGGAGCGGUGAAAUGCGUAGAGAUAAGGAGGAACACCAGCGGCGAAGGCGCUCUACUGGGCCGAUACUGACACUGAGAGACGAAAGCUAAGGGAGUGAAUAGGAUUAGAGACCCUAGUAAUCUUAGCUGUAAACGAUGGAAACUAAGGAUUGCCAAAAGCAGUCCUGUAGCUAACGCGUUAAGUUUCCCGCCUGGGGAGUAUGCUCGCAAGAGUGAAACUUAAAGGAAUUGGCGGGGGAU
Molecule: ribosomal RNA, 406 nt
Filed under: uncultured bacterium
Lineage: Bacteria
Description: bacterial SSU rRNA
Rfam family: Bacterial small subunit ribosomal RNA
Source: RNAcentral